ACGGAAGGCAGCAGUGGGGAGUAUUGGGCAAUGGGCGAAAGCCUGACCCAGCAACGCCGCGUGAAGGAAGAAGGUUUUCGGAUUGUAAACUUCUUUUAUCAGGGACGAAGAAAGUGACGGUACCUGAUGAAUAAGCCACGGCUAACUACGUGCCAGCAGCCGCGGUAAUACGUAGGUGGCAAGCGUUAUCCGGAUUUACUGGGUGUAAAGGGCGCGUAGGCGGGGAUGCAAGUCAGGUGUGAAAUCUAUGGGCUUAACCCAUAAACUGCAUUUGAAACUGUAUCUCUUGAGUGUCGGAGAGGUAGACGGAAUUCCUAGUGUAGCGGUGAAAUGCGUAGAUAUUAGGAGGAACACCAGUGGCGAAGGCGGUCUACUGGACGAUAACUGACGCUGAGGCGCGAAAGCGUGGGGAGCAAGCAGGAUUAGAUACCCUGGUA
Molecule: ribosomal RNA, 437 nt
Filed under: uncultured Oscillospiraceae bacterium
Lineage: Bacteria; Bacillati; Bacillota; Clostridia; Eubacteriales; Oscillospiraceae
Description: partial 16S ribosomal RNA
Rfam family: Bacterial small subunit ribosomal RNA
Source: RNAcentral